This 311-nucleotide unclassified non-coding RNA is filed under the name Hevea brasiliensis (rubber tree). The record is from RNAcentral. Lineage: Eukaryota; Viridiplantae; Streptophyta; Magnoliopsida; Malpighiales; Euphorbiaceae.
UGAUUAUGAAUUUAAAUUCUAUACUUAAAGUGGAAAGUAUAAAAUUUUAAUGCAAUAUUGCAUGUAAAUAUCUUAUUAUUUGUGAUAUUCACAUUUGUUCAAAUAGAGCAUAAAGUUAUUUCAUUUAUGUAAUAGGCUAAUUUAAGAAAGUUCAACAAAAGUUUAAUUGACCUGCCGUAUUUAGAGAAAUUAUAUAGUAUCACUGUAAUUUUGCUAAUAUGGAAUGGCAAACAAAUGGUAAGUAGACAAUUAAGCAUAUAUAUGGUUAUUAUUUUUUUUAAAAAAUUGCAAUAUGGUUAUAGAUUUUUGGG